Molecule: unclassified non-coding RNA, 628 nt
Filed under: Hevea brasiliensis (rubber tree)
Lineage: Eukaryota; Viridiplantae; Streptophyta; Magnoliopsida; Malpighiales; Euphorbiaceae
Source: RNAcentral
GUCAGGCUUCAGAGCAGCUUUUCUUUUUCUGGUAGUACUUGUAUUGGGCUCCUUCCUCGUGGCGGAAUCAGCGGUUGGAGUGAACUGGGGUACAGUAUCUUUCCGAAAGCUGAAGCCUUCCACAGUUGUGGAUCUGUUGAAAGACAACAAGAUAGAGAAGGUGAAGCUGUUUGAUGCAGACCCAGAUGUGCUUACAGCUUUAAUAGGGAGUGGUAUUCAAGUCAUGGUUGGGAUCCCAAAUGAAAUGUUGGCUGCAAUUAGCUCCUCAACUACUGUUUCUGAUUCGUGGGUGCGCCAGAAUGUUUCCAGAUAUGUGGUUAAAGGUGGUGUUGAUAUCAGGUAUGUAGCUGUAGGAAAUGAACCAUUCCUAUCUAGUUAUUCUGGUCAAUUUCAAUCCUAUGUAAUGCCUGCCCUGCUCAAUUUACAGCAGUCUUUGGCUAAAGCAAAUCUCGCUGGUUAUGUAAAGCUAGUGGUCCCUUGCAAUGCAGAUGCCUAUGAAUCCUCCCUACCUUCUCAAGGGGCAUUUCGACCUGAGUUAACUGAAAUUAUAACUCAACUUGUUUCCUUCCUCAACUCAAAUGGUUCCCCUUUUGUUGUCAAUAUUUACCCAUUUCUUAGUCUCUAUGGG